RNAcentral lists this ribosomal RNA (254 nucleotides) under uncultured bacterium. RNAcentral describes it as "partial 16S ribosomal RNA". It matches the Rfam family "Bacterial small subunit ribosomal RNA", at positions 524 to 776 of the family's 1533-position model. The record is from RNAcentral.
UACGGGGGGAGCAAGCGUUGUUCGGAUUUACUGGGCGUAAAGGGCGCGUAGGCGGCCACCGCAAGUCGACUGUGAAAUCUCCGGGCUUAACCCGGAAAGGUCAGCCGAUACUGCGGGGCUAGAGUGCAGAAGAGGCAACCGGAAUUCCCAGUGUAGCGGUGAAAUGCGUAGAUAUUGGGAAGAACACCGGAGGCGAAGGCGGGUUGCUGGGCCGACACUGACGCUGAGGCGCGAAAGCCAGGGGAGCAAACGGG